AGAGUUUGAUCAUGGCUCAGGAUGAACGCUAGCGGUAUGCUUAACACAUGCAAGUCGUACGGAAAAGAAAUUUUUAGUGGCGAACGGGUGAGUAACGCGUGAGAAUUUGCCUUUAGGAAGAGGAUAACAACUAGAAGUAGUUGCUAAGACUCUAUAUGCCGUUUGGUGAAAAAAGCAAUUUGCCUAAAGAGAAGCUCGCGUCUGAUUAGCUAGUUGGUGGGGUAAAGGCCUACCAAGGCGACGAUCAGUAGCUGGUCUGAGAGGAUGAUCAGCCACACUGGAACUGAGACACGGUCCAGACUCCUACGGGAGGCAGCAGUGAGGAAUUUUCUGCAAUGGGCGAAAGCCUGACAGAGCAAUACCGCGUGGAGGAUGAAGGCCUACGGGUUGUAAACUUCUUUUCUCAAGGAGGAAGAUCUGACGUUACUUGAGGAAUAAGCAUCGGCUAACCCUGUGCCAGCAGCCGCGGU
RNAcentral lists this ribosomal RNA (470 nucleotides) under uncultured bacterium. RNAcentral's name for it is "bacterial SSU rRNA". It matches the Rfam family "Bacterial small subunit ribosomal RNA", at positions 8 to 521 of the family's 1533-position model. The record is from RNAcentral.